This 261-nucleotide long non-coding RNA is filed under the name Carica papaya (papaya). RNAcentral describes it as "long non-coding RNA (CPAP_LNC004529)". Lineage: Eukaryota; Viridiplantae; Streptophyta; Magnoliopsida; Brassicales; Caricaceae. The record is from RNAcentral.
GGACGGUCCAGAUUGCACGUGUGCGGACAGCCCAGAUUGAAUCACGUAGGAUGGCCCAGAUCGCAUCGCGAUGGAUGGCCCAAAUUCAUUUCUAAUUUAAUCGUGAUCGGACGGUCCAGAUUAAAUUGUGAUAGACGGCUCAGAUUAAAAGUGGAAGGUUAUAAAUAACCUCAUCCACACCCAAACCCAAACCCUAGCCGCCAGAGCUCUCGUCGGAGAAGAAAACCCAGCCACUGAAGGAACCGACCGCCGCCACCCGCC